GGGAGCCGGCAACGGCACCUGAUUGCUGAAAACUUGUGCAAACUUGGUCGUCUAGAGGAAGUAAAAGUCAUAACAAGGUUUUCUGUAGGUGAACCUGCAGAAGGAUCAUUUAGUGAAUUAAUAGGGAUUGUCCACUCUGUGGAUUCCCGAACCCCUCACAAACAUCCACAAACACCUGUGCAUUGUCGGUCUAGAUGAUAGUUGGCUCUCUGAGCCUUCUUGUAUUCUGCCGGCGCCAAUUUACAAACUCUGAGUUUAAUGAAUGUGAAGUUAUACUUGCCAUUUUGGCAGAAUUAAACAUAACUUUCGACAACGGAUCUCUUGGUUCUCCCAUCGAUGAAGAACGCAGCGAAACGCGAUAGGUAAUGUGAAUUGCAGAAUUCAGUGAAUCAUCGAAUCUUUGAACGCACCUUGCGCUCCCUGGUAUUCCUAGGAGCAUGCCUGUUUGAGUGUCAUGAAUUCCUCAAAUCCCAAUGUUUUGCAAAAUUCAUUGUCUGGAUUUGGUUUUGGACUACUGUGCUGCUUUACCGCAGCUAGUCUCAAAGACAUUAGCAGGGCUUUUCGACUAGCGAAUAGCUUCCACUUGAUGUGAUAAGUAUUACGUCGGUGGGUUAAAGAGCUACAUAGCAAAAUAGAAGAGUCUGCUUCCAACCCGGCGAGAAGUUUACCCUUCGACCCAUUUUUCAUAACUCUGGCCUCAAAUCAGGUAGGAUUACCCGCUGAACUUAAGCAUAUCAAUAAGCGGAGGAAAAGAAACUAACAAGGAUUCCCCUAGUAACGGCGAGUGAAGCGGGAAGAGCUCAAAUUUGAAAGCUGGCGCCUUCGGCGUCCGCGUUGUAAUCUCGAGAAGUGUUUUCCGCGUUGGACCAUGUACAAGUUCCUUGGAAUAGGACGUCAUAGAGGGUGAAAAUCCCGUACUUGACAUGGACGCCCAAUGCUUUGUGAUACACUCUCCACGAGUCGAGUUGUUUGGGAAUGCAGCUCAAAAUGGGUGGUAAAUUCCAUCUAAAGCUAAAUAUUGGGGAGAGACCGAUAGCGAACAAGUACCGUGAGGGAAAGAUGAAAAGCACUUUGGAAAGAGAGUUAAAUAGUACGUGAAAUUGUCGAAAGGGAAGCGCUUGAAGUUAGACAUGCUUAUUGGGAUUCAGCCUUGCUUUUGCAUGGUGCAUUUCCCGGUUAGCAGGCCAGCAUCAGUUUUGGCUGUCGGAUAAGGGUAAGAGGAAUGUGGCCCCUAGGGGUGUUAUAGCCUCUUACUGGAUACGACGGCUGGGACUGAGGACCGCAGUGUGCCUUUAUGGCGGGCCUUCGGGCACCUCACACUUAGGAUGCUGCGAAGAAAAUUGGAAGUUA
Molecule: ribosomal RNA, 1350 nt
Filed under: Parajaminaea albizii
Lineage: Eukaryota; Fungi; Basidiomycota; Exobasidiomycetes; Microstromatales
Description: eukaryotic LSU rRNA
Rfam family: Eukaryotic large subunit ribosomal RNA (bases 693-1350)
Source: RNAcentral